RNAcentral lists this ribosomal RNA (21 nucleotides) under Serjania ampelopsis. RNAcentral's name for it is "partial 26S ribosomal RNA". The record is from RNAcentral. Lineage: Eukaryota; Viridiplantae; Streptophyta; Magnoliopsida; Sapindales; Sapindaceae.
UCGCACAUCGACCGCGACCCC